AGUGAACGCUGGCGGUAGGCCUAACACAUGCAAGUCGAACGGCAGCACAGUAAGAGCUUGCUCUUACUGGUGGCGAGUGGCGUACGGGUGAGGAAUACAUCGGAAUCUACUUUUUCGUGGGGGAUAACGUAGGGAAACUUACGCUAAUACCUCAUACGACCUACGGGUGAAAGCAGGGGAUCUUCGGACCUUGCGCGAUUGAAUGAGCCGAUGUCGGAUUAGCUAGUUGGCGGGGUAAAGGCCCACCAAGGCGACGAUCCGUAGCUGGUCUGAGAGGAUGAUCAGCCACACUGGAACUGAGACACGGUCCAGACUCCUACGGGAGGCAGCAGUGGGGAAUAUUGGACAAUGGGCGCAAGCCUGAUCCAGCCAUACCGCGUGGGUGAAGAAGGCCUUCGGGUUGUAAAGCCCUUUUGUUGGGAAAGAAAAGCAGCAGGUUAAUACCCCGCUGUUAUGACGGUACCGUAAGAAUAAGCACCGGCUAACUUCGUG
Molecule: ribosomal RNA, 492 nt
Filed under: uncultured bacterium
Lineage: Bacteria
Description: partial 16S ribosomal RNA
Rfam family: Bacterial small subunit ribosomal RNA
Source: RNAcentral